CUCGCAGCGCCUCAUCCCCUUCCCCGACACAGCCGCCGCCGCCGCCGAAGGGAUCUCACGCAGCGGCGCCCUUCCAUCCUCUUGCUCGCUCUGCACGCGAUUGCGCAACCCUCUCCUCCAUUGUCCCUCCUUUUUUCCCUCCAGCUCCAUGUCCUACCUCCCCAAGGCGCCUCCCUGAAGGUCGAAGGUGUGACAAAGAUGAGAGGAUGAGGGCAGGAGGAUGGGAAGAUGAGUCGAGCUGGAGCAAGGUGGGGACAUCCCAGCUGCCAAUGUAUUCCUCCCCGUCAUGCAGGCGUUCCCGCCCUUACGACCUCAGCAGGCACCAUCAAGGGUGGAUGUGCUCAUCUGCUGGUCAUAACCGCUGGUGAUGUCCUCUCCUCCAAUGGAAGUUGAUGACAAAUCCCCUCCUCCAAGUCCAAGGUGACAAUCGACUCAUGCAGAUUUGCUUCUCCGGGUAUUUCACUCAACCCCUACAAAUAUUUCAUGGAAUCCAUGAGUUCUCUUCUGUACUGAUUGAGCAAGUUGCAGGUAAAAAGAUUGUGCGAUGAGGCAAAUGAGAUAUUAGGGAGGAAGCUAAUAUUCAGGUAUGGUAGAUCGUUCUCAUAAUAUUCAGGUAUGGUAGAUUGUUCUCAUAAUUUUGCAAUGGCGUCUGUUAAUAGGUAAUAGGGUGUUACAAAAUAUAAUGGUGAUAUGCUCUAUUCAGUUGUAGACUUGUAGUAACAUCAUGCCAGUAUCCUCUUUGGCGUGUUCUGCACUGUUCGCUUUGCUCAAAAUUUUGUAAUGGAAUCAUUUUGUUUUGUUAAUAGUAUGGAAUGAACCAACUAAGAAAAGAUAUGAAGAGUGUCUUCAUGAUCAUUUUUCGGUGCUGUGUACAUGAAAUACCUUCUCCAAUUUUUAAUUUAUGAAGUGGACUAGGACCUUUGCCCCAAGCACCUGUGGAAGAUACUAGCCGAGCUGCGAACUGGUGAGUCGCGGGCAAAAGAAAAUAAUGUAGAUGCAGUCGCAGGUUGCAGGUGGUUAGGCAGGCCGAUUGAACCGAUGUGGGCGAUGUGUUCACAUGGGCAUCCGCUAUCCGGUCGAGGAGCGAGCCCAUGUGGUAAAGCUGCUUCGGGCCUCCCGGACCGCACAUCGAUGCAGGUCUAGGCGAAGCGGCGUUCGCUGUUAGGUGAAGCAGAUCAACAAGAGAAAGUGAGUCAUUGGGGUUUGAAGAAAGCAAUCAACAGUGAGUUCCACGAGGCAUUCAUGGCAGAUGAUAUGCCAGUUGUUGGCAACACUAAUGGAGACAUGCGUUUCAAUUUUCCCAACUUGUUGAUGCUUCAUUACAUGCGUCUAUAUGCAUGUUGUCUAGCCUGGUGCUCUCCUGGUCCAUUACCCUUCUUACUCUGGAGCGAAACAUCAAACAGUAUGGUUUCGGCUAAUGUUUCCCUCUAUUAACAUUUUUACCCUUGUGAUUUUUCUGUCGUGCAAUUUCUAUCAUGUGCUCGUUUGGUGAUGCUUUGAUUGUGUAACCUACUUUAGUUUUGGCAUGGCUAGAUUUUUAGACAGAUAUACAUAUUUGUCAAUUAUUGCAAUCAAGUGUUUGACAAAUGGGUAUAAUCUGCAGCAGAAUCAAAAUUCGUGGGAGCUAAUAAUAAAAAGCAAGCAUCAUAUUUGUUGCCAUGGGAUAGAAACAGCAUAUGACAACUUCAUCACACAAGCUUCCUAGAAGCGUGCUUUUGUAAAAUAAAAUAAUUUCAUAUUAUUCUGCAGCUACUCUCUGUGUUCCUGAGCUCGUGUUUUUCUUCUGUAGCUCAUCAGUAAAUCUCCAAGAAAACACAUGCACAUAACUGUAUAUUUUAUGGAUUAUUUGGAGCAGUGUCAUUUCAAUUAAUGUUCUGUUAGUCGUUACAUUUAAAUAUUUUUUAACGUAAGUCCUUUCCCAAGUUAUUUCUCCCUCACAACAUUGUUGAGAGCAAUGAAGAGGGCAUGACCAAGUUCAUGCCAGGUGACCAUGUCCUGCCAGUGUUCAUUGGCCAGUGCAAGGAAUGUGCUCACUAUAAUAUUUGUGACCUCUACAGGAUCAAUGUCGACCGGGGCAUGCUGGUCUUCACCAUCAGCUGGAAACUGAUAUUCGUCUUCGUCCGGACCUCUACCUUCAGUGAUUGUUCCGAUGCCGUUAUUUCCCAAUGAAACACCAUAUUCAGAUUCAGAAUGCCUCGCGGAAUCGGCAAAGGGUUUGAGGGUGGCGAUUUUUAGCCUUGGAGUUGUAAGCCUUGCUGCUAUGGAAGGGGCCAGCAUGGAUAGGGGAUCAAGUAUUAUCAGUGUGGACUUGAACCCUGCAAAAUAUGAACAAGUUACAAUCUAUUGCUAUCUUCAGAAAGAAAAUAUAUAUACAUUUUCAUAAUUGUUUAUGGACACACACUGAACUUUUGCGAAAAAGCCAGCUAAGAAAUUUCACUGCACCGACUUUGUAAACCCAAAGGAUCGCACUAGUGCAUGAGAUGACAAACAUUGGAGUCAACAGACCCGUGGAUUGCACUUGCCACGUCGACACCAUGAUAUUUGCCUUUGAAUGCUUUCACGAUGGGUAGGGCGUGGUUAGGCUGGUGGGUGUCCCACACAAGGAGGUGGCAUUCAAUACCCACCUGAUGAACUUCCUCAAUGGCAAGACCUCGAAAGGUGCCUUCUUUGGAAACUACAAGCCACACACCAACUUCCCAAACGUCAUCAAGAUGUAAGUUCAUCACGCACGUCGGACCCUUCUAACAGAUCAAAUUGUGAUCAUCAUUCUAAAGAGAACCGCUGCUUCACAAGGUUGGAUGAUUAGACUGAGCUUCUUCUUUCAUGUCCCUUGCUACUUUUAGAUUUGGUGCUUGAGAAACAUAAGAAAAAUGCUUAUAAGAUCUUCCCUCAGGUAAUAAUGUAAUAGUUAUGAGACACCAUGUGUUGAGCUCUUUUUUGUCACAAAGAACGAACACUGUUUUGUGUUGUCGUACAGUUUGGUCUUC
This is a long non-coding RNA of Triticum aestivum (bread wheat), 2987 nucleotides long. RefSeq lists it as uncharacterized. Lineage: Eukaryota; Viridiplantae; Streptophyta; Magnoliopsida; Poales; Poaceae. The record is from RefSeq and is a predicted model, not a curated record. The transcript is spliced from 4 exons.